UGAACGUUUCAUUGGAAUACU
RNAcentral lists this non-coding RNA (21 nucleotides) under Caenorhabditis elegans. The record is from RNAcentral. Lineage: Eukaryota; Metazoa; Nematoda; Chromadorea; Rhabditida; Rhabditidae.